Molecule: long non-coding RNA, 1208 nt
Organism: Corticium candelabrum
Lineage: Eukaryota; Metazoa; Porifera; Homoscleromorpha; Homosclerophorida; Plakinidae
Exons: 8
Source: RefSeq, a predicted model, not a curated record
AUAUAGGCAGAGAUUCAGCAAGUCACCAACAGCUAUUGAAGAAGCAAUACAACAAUCGAUUAUUGAUAGUAUCGCAAACGAAGAGAAUAUUGACAACUUGAAUCGACGCAUUUUGCAAGCAAGACUAACUGUUCGCAGCAGAGUCAAGGGAGAAGGGAACUACUUUUUUUAGAGCUAUCUCGGAUCAGCUAGACCGACUAUCACUAGAUCCCAAGUCCCACUAUCAAGUUAGGCAAAUGGUCUUGAACUAUCUCAGAUCUAAUCCAUUCACGAUGUCAGGAGAACAUCUAGGAAACUUCACAUGUGACGAUGCGUGGCCAGAGUAUUUGCUGGAACUAAGCAGAAAAGGAACGUAGGCGGACGAAGUUGCUGUCAGGGCGACGGCAUUGGGUUUUGAUCGCUCUUUCUACAUCAUUUCGUCAGUGAAAGAUGACAACAGUGACAAAAACAUUGAAGCUCUUACUGAGGCAGGAAACAGACUGCCACCGUUUCUACUAGGGAAUCUUGCUGAACGCCACUAUUGGAGUCUUGACGUGAAUAUUUCGUUGCAGCACAGUAAAGAAACCAGCUGUUCUUGUUUAGAUUACGAACUCUCUGAGUCUGAACAUGCCAUUGUCGCAAGAACGUGAAUACGAGUGGUGAUCUAGUUUUACGUAUCUGUCAGUAUCGUCUCUUAUUGAUCGAUUUCGUAGUUUAAUGACCAGGUCGUCAGCGCAGCACACAAAAUAUUUGAGGAAGAGAUCAACUCUAAGCAUGACAAAAGAGUCAUUGUUGUGAGCUCUUUCGUUAUUCCGUGCUACAAAAACCGAGGUUAUGAAGGUGUUCAAAGAGCUUGCCAGCAUGCAAAUGUUUUCGAGUACGAGAUGAUUGCGAUUCCAGUGCAUCUUGACAAUCAUUGGAUUUCAGUGGUGUUUACAGAGUUACACUUUGUCAUGUCCCGGAUAAUAAACACGGAACUCCUGACUCACACAAACGUGAGGCUUCAAGCUUCGAUUUUCAGCAGAAUAAUGAAUAAUCAAGUACGAAGCAACCUGCUUUAGCAAGUGAGAAGCUGGUUUAGACAACGGCAGUGCAGGUUGUCAUGACAACUAGGUGACGACUAGAGACGCCUCCUUUCUCUAUGGAAGGACACUUCGUUUGACUCUAGACGAACAAACAGCUUAUUCUAGUCCUAGACUAGCGAUUUAGCUAAUAAAAUUUAGAUCGGA